GUCCCAGUAACGCAGUGGAUAGCGCGUUGCACUUCUAAUCCAAAGGUCGUGGGUUCGAAUCCCACCAGGGAUG
RNAcentral lists this transfer RNA (73 nucleotides) under Trichonephila inaurata madagascariensis. It matches the Rfam family "tRNA". Rfam says of the family: Transfer RNA (tRNA) molecules are approximately 80 nucleotides in length. The record is from Rfam by way of RNAcentral. Lineage: Eukaryota; Metazoa; Arthropoda; Arachnida; Araneae; Nephilidae.